RNAcentral lists this ribosomal RNA (717 nucleotides) under Triticum aestivum (bread wheat). RNAcentral's name for it is "partial small subunit ribosomal RNA". Lineage: Eukaryota; Viridiplantae; Streptophyta; Magnoliopsida; Poales; Poaceae. The record is from RNAcentral.
AUGCACAAGGUGAAGGCUCUUGCCUACGCCAUGGCCUCUGCUAGAUCUCCUCUCGCUGAUGAUGAGAUCAUCGACUACAUGCUCACCGGUUUGGGCAAGGCCUUCAACCCGAUCGCGGCGUCGCUCAGUGUUGUGGUCACCCCGGUUGCGCCGACUGACUUCUACUCCAUGGUUCUCAACUAUGAAGCGCUGCAGUUAUCGCAGCAGGCCGAUGAUGAGGAGUGGACCUCGUCGGCCAACGCCGUGGCUCGGUCCGGCGCUCCUCCCCCCGCCAACCGCCCUCGCGCGCCUGACUCUGGUCGCGCAGCCGACUCCCGCCCCGCCGGAGGCUACCCGCAGCAACAGGGGCAGGGCUACCAGCAAGGCGGCCAAGACAACCGUCGUAGCAACGGCGGUGGAGGAGGCGGCAAUGGCCGCAACGGCAAUCGUCGCUGGCGCCCGUGGUGCCAGAUUUGUAAAAAUUGGGGUCACGAAGCCGAUACCUGCAAGAAGCGUUUUGAUUCAGACUACUCCAGCGGCGGCAAUGGCCGCUCGGCAUAUAAUGCUUCGACCUCCUCCAACAACUCCACGCACUGGGUUCUGGACUCCGGCACCAUGGAUCACCUGACUAGUGACCUGGAGCGUCUUCAGUUCCGCGAGCGUUACGACGGUCAUGAUCAGGUUCAGGUGCCCAACGGCUCAGGACAAAGCCACCAGGAGAAUUCUUCUUCGAGGUAG